RNAcentral lists this ribosomal RNA (253 nucleotides) under uncultured bacterium. RNAcentral describes it as "partial 16S ribosomal RNA". It matches the Rfam family "Bacterial small subunit ribosomal RNA", at positions 524 to 776 of the family's 1533-position model. The record is from RNAcentral. RNAcentral also lists the same sequence under 1 other name.
UACAGAGGUCUCAAGCGUUGUUCGGAUUCAUUGGGCGUAAAGGGUGCGUAGGUGGCGCGCUAAGUCAGGUGUGAAAUUUCGGAGCUCAACUCCGAAACUGCAUUUGAUACUGGCGUGCUUGAGGACUGGAGAGGAGACUGGAAUUCACGGUGUAGCAGUGAAAUGCGUAGAUAUCGUGAGGAAGACCAGUGGCGAAGGCGGGUCUCUGGACAGUUCCUGACACUGAGGCACGAAGGCCAGGGGAGCAAACGGG